GGAGAGCCCGUCGUUGUCGAACAAGCAGUGCGCGGGAAAGGAGCUGGUGGUUCUGCUGGGGCGGCUGCUGCUGGUGGAGCUCUUCCUCCGCUACGAUACCUUCACCGCGGAGGUUGGGACGGAUGCGCUCGGGAUCCAGGUCACCUUCACCUCGUUGACCAAGCCCAGUGCUACUUCCUAAGCCACCCACCCUUGAGUUUCUCCCAGCGCUUGCUCUUUUAUCUCAUAUAUCUGGUUAAAUAAAGUCAAAAUCUGGUUUCCCCGUGGUGUUUGUUUUUGUUGUUGUUUUUGUUUAUAUAUAUAUAUAUAUAUAUAUUGGCUUCCACCAUCUUGCAAUCAAAAUUAAAUGUAUUUAAGAUGUGGAAUUAAAUUGUGAUGCAGAAUAGUGGAAUGAAUGCUUAGCACUCAAGUAAACCUUGAAUCCAUCAACCAACAGCACAUUCAACCUUCAAAUCAAAGAGAGGAGUGAAGACUCUUAAUUGAAUGAGCUAUCAACAGAACAUCUAUAGCAAUCACUGGCAGCCCUCUCAUUUAUUAAAAAAAAAAAAAUCCAUACUUCAAAGAGCAUCUACUAUCAACUUCCAAUUAUGCUGCAACGAGAUUUUCAUUUCCUGAGUUUUAGCUCAUUUCUUUCUAAAUCUUAUUAUAUAUUUUAUUUUUUUAUAAAUUUUUUAAAAUUGAAAUUUGUGAGAUAGGCUCAUCUCCGGUCCGUAAUUAGACGGUGUAUUGACUGAAUUUAAGCAUGACUUAGAGAAAUAUUUUAAUUAACUAUCUGAGCAAAAUUAACUAGAUUGAUUGUGAGCUCGAGUUAAAGCAAUGAAAUUAUAAUCUCGAGCAAUUAUAGUUAGAAUUUUUAAGUAAUGGAUCUUGGAAAGUGGAUAUUGGUCUUGAGUUUGGUAUGAACCACUAUAAAUUUUGUAUGCUUGUAUUUGUGUCUUGAUUUUAUUUCUUUAAUCUACUUUUCUUAGUUAUUCCUAUUGAAUUCCGUUGUAUACAGUACACACUCAUACUUAAAUUAAAAAUAAUGCCUUUAAUUGCUGUAAAUUUUUAAGAAACUCAAUUUACCCUCUCUCUGUCCUCUUGGAUUGCUACGUCUAGAUAACAUGGUAUCAUAGCUUGGCACUCAACUUCUUUUUGAUUCAACUAUCAAAAGUUAAAGAUCAAGAGAAACUCAAAUUGAUUUAUCUUUUACUGAAGGGCAAUCACAAAUUAUCCUCCUUUGUUUAUUGGCAGUAGUUGCAUAUACAUCUAGGCAACAUUGAUACUUGGCCCCUUUUUGAUUUAAUCGUCAGGAGUUAAAGAUCAAUGACAAUUCAAAUAGGUUUAUCUCUUACUGAAGGGCAAUCCACAAAUCACUUUCCUUUAUUCAAUGGCACCACUUACAUAUAUUGGAAAGCACAUAUAUGUAUAUUUAUUUAGGUACUUGAUUAAUGAUUUAUAGGAAGUCAUAAUCAAUGAUUUACAUACACUCACGAUAUUACUUGAUAGCAUUACUUUACCCUAACCUGAAAGAGAAUGGAAUAAAUUAGAUAAGAAAAUGACUCAGCUAAAUACAAAGAUCAUGAAAUAAGGCAUCAUUUUAUAAAAGAUCAUAUUCAAAAUGAUGAUGUAUUACUUGAUUUAGAUAGACAACUAACAGGUAUUUUUACCAAACCUUUGAGUAAGAAAAAAAUUAUUAUGAUAAUUAGAAAAGAGUUAAAGAGUUUGUGACCCCUUUAACUAAGCCUUUUCCUAACUCUUUCUCUCUCCCCCCUUAAAACUCUCAAAUUUGAUCUUUUCUUGAAUCCUACGUGUUUGAUUUCAUGCUUAUUUUUUCUUAUUUGUGUUUCCUUGAGUCGUCUCUUAUCUUAAGUAUUAAUUUUUUUAAAAAAUUUGAUAUUUCUUGUUUGAGGCUAAGCUCGAGUCAACUCAUAGUUGAGUUUGAGUUGGCUUCAGCUUGAGUCGAUUCUAGCAAAAAAACUUGAAUUAGCUCUUGAUCGGGACCACUCAUUUAAAUGACGAGCCGUCUGAUAAACACUUAAUUUAAGUCAUUUAAAGUAAAAAAUUAUAUUUAAUUUAUUUUAUUUAUUAAGAAUUUAAUGCUUCUUUUUAUAUUUUACAGGAAAGAUGAUUGCCGAUACAAAGAGUCCGAUUCGUAGAUCAAAAAGACUCAAGUUUGAAGAAAAUUAGACUUAAAAUAAAAUUUAAAUAAAAGAAGGAUGUAUACGGUAUUAUAGAAAAUGAAGAUACUAUGCAAGGAACCUAAAAAGGAUAUAGACGUCAUUUUAAAGAAACAAAAGUUUCUUUUUGUAAUUUGGAGUGUAAACGGAAGGCUCGCAUGGGCGGACGCGUGGCACGGUGGGCGCAGCACGGCGGGCAUGGCAUGGCGGGUUCGUGCGGCAUUGUGGGCGCGCNN
RNAcentral lists this long non-coding RNA (2395 nucleotides) under Elaeis guineensis (African oil palm). RNAcentral describes it as "long non-coding RNA (EGUI_LNC005432)". Lineage: Eukaryota; Viridiplantae; Streptophyta; Magnoliopsida; Arecales; Arecaceae. The record is from RNAcentral.